Molecule: ribosomal RNA, 430 nt
Filed under: Evtepia sp.
Lineage: Bacteria; Bacillati; Bacillota; Clostridia; Eubacteriales
Description: bacterial SSU rRNA
Rfam family: Bacterial small subunit ribosomal RNA
Source: RNAcentral
UUUAUUGAGAGUUUGAUCCUGGCUCAGGAUGAACGCUGGCGGCGUGCUUAACACAUGCAAGUCGAACGGAGAACCCUUGACGGAGUUUUCGGACAACGGAUAGGAAUUCUUAGUGGCGGACGGGUGAGUAACGCGUGAGGAACCUGCCUUGGAGAGGGGAAUAACACAGAGAAAUUUGUGCUAAUACCGCAUGAUGCAGUUGGGUCGCAUGGCUCUGACUGCCAAAGAUUUUAUCGCUCUGAGAUGGCCUCGCGUCUGAUUAGCUAGUUGGUGGGGCAACGGCCCACCAAGGCGACGAUCAGUAGCCGGACUGAGAGGUUGACCGGCCACAUUGGGACUGAGACACGGCCCAGACUCCUACGGGAGGCAGCAGUGGGGAAUAUUGGGCAAUGGGCGCAAGCCUGACCCAGCAACGCCGCGUGAAGGAAGA